GGAGGGGUGGCAGAGCGGCUGAAUGCGCCAGUCUUGAAAACUGGAGUGGGUUCACGCCCACCGCGGGUUCGAAUCCCGCCCCCUCCG
This 87-nucleotide transfer RNA is filed under the name Actinomycetota bacterium. RNAcentral describes it as "tRNA-Ser". It matches the Rfam family "tRNA". Rfam says of the family: Transfer RNA (tRNA) molecules are approximately 80 nucleotides in length. Their secondary structure includes four short double-helical elements and three loops (D, anti-codon, and T loops). Further hydrogen bonds mediate the characteristic L-shaped molecular structure. tRNAs have two regions of fundamental functional importance: the anti-codon, which is responsible for specific mRNA codon recognition, and the 3' end, to which the tRNAs corresponding amino acid is attached (by aminoacyl-tRNA synthetases). tRNAs cope with the degeneracy of the genetic code in two manners: having more than one tRNA (with a specific anti-codon) for a particular amino acid; and 'wobble' base-pairing, i.e. permitting non-standard base-pairing at the 3rd anti-codon position. RNAcentral also lists the same sequence under 2 other names. The record is from RNAcentral. Lineage: Bacteria; Bacillati; Actinomycetota.